Long non-coding RNA from Dromaius novaehollandiae (emu), 1578 nucleotides. RefSeq lists it as uncharacterized. The record is from RefSeq and is a predicted model, not a curated record. The transcript is spliced from 3 exons. Lineage: Eukaryota; Metazoa; Chordata; Aves; Casuariiformes; Dromaiidae.
GUGAUACAGACCUCCCACCAUCACAGGGAUCAUUGAACAGUGGUGUCCCUGUGUGAUAGUUGCACAGGUCACCACCACAGCCCUCCCUGCACUGCCUGUGGCUGGCCUCCUGGUUCAGCCCUCUGUUAGGGCCCCAGGGCUGUGCCUGUCCCUGUCAUUUGGCAGCUCACGGGGAGGGGAUGGACCCCAGGGCGGUGGGGGCUGUGCUGGGCCCUGCCUCCUGCCUGUGCUGCUGGGACGAGGUGCCCCUGCACGGCCAGGCUGGCACCCAGGGCCCUGCCGGGUGCCCUUCCUGCCUGCGCAGCUCCAUCAGGAGCGACCGUGGUGCUGGGCAUCUGCUGCCCACCACCUCGUGCCUUCAUGCUGAGCUGCUGCUGAGGCGCUGUGGCCUCUGGCAGCCUCUGGCCUGUCUGGCACAUCCCUGUGGGAGCACAGGCGUGGAAAUCCCAGGCUGGCAGCACAGCCUGAAGGCCCCGGCUGGAGCUGUGCAUCAGGGAGGGAGUAUAGUGCUGGCUGGGCUGGAGGGGCAAAGGCCCUUGUGUUUUGGGGCUGUUCAGGGUGAGCAAUUCUGGGUUGCAGUGACUGGGGCACAUAAACAUCCCGGUGCCCUCUCUGAGGUCAGUCUGAGGGGCAGAGGCAGUGGCUGGGGCAGUGUGUGGAGCUGGAGGCUGCUGAGUGUCCUGGGAAGAGCUCUGCCUUGUUUCUGCUCCCCUAGGCUAAGCUUUCCCCCCAAGGGCUGGUGCUGCAGCAUCAGAGCUGAUGUUGGUGCUCGUGGCUGCUGUGUGCAGGUUUGCCAGGCCUUGCUGAGCCUCCAGGCACUUUGCACUCACGGAUCCUGCAUUUUCUGCCCUCUCUCCUCUCCCUCUGCAGGUUCCCUGGUCCAGGCAGCACUGACUCAGCAGCCGGCCUCAGUGUCUGUGUCCCCAGGAGAAACCGCCCAGAUCACCUGCUCUGGGAGUAGUGGCAGCUAUGUCUGGUUCUAGCAGAAGCCUGGCAGUGGCCUGUUGUUGUGAUUUACUACAAUGACAAGAGCGGGAUUUUCCCGCUGCGUGUGGAGCACAGGGGCAGGAAGGCCUCGGUGCUGCCCCGUGCCGUGUCCCCAGGGCUGUCUGCAUCUGGCGCUGCCGUGGCCCCUGCGUGGUUCCCUGGUCCAGGCAGCGGUGACUCAGCUGGCCUCGGUGUCCGUGUCCCCGGGAGAAAACGCCCGCAUCACCUGCUCUGGGUAUUACAGUGACUACUAUAGCAGCAGCUACUUUGGCUGGAUCCAGCAGAAACCUGGUGGUGCCCCGGUCGUCGUGAUAUAUGAAAGCACCAAGAGACCCUCGGGCAUCCCUGCGCGAUUCUCCGGUUCCAAGUCCGGCUCCACGGGCACGUUGACCAUCACUGGGGUGCAAGCUGAGGACAAGGCUGCGGUGUGGAGCGUAGGGUCGUGGCUAGGACAGCAGUGCUGACCAGGGUCCUGGUGACAAUGCGGAACAUGCAGUGGGGAAGUGAGGUUCCCUGGUCCAGGCAGCAGUGACUCAGCCGGCCUCGGUGUCCGUGUCCCCGGGAGAAACCGCCCGCAUCACCUGCUCUGGG